This 460-nucleotide ribosomal RNA is filed under the name uncultured bacterium. RNAcentral describes it as "partial 16S ribosomal RNA". It matches the Rfam family "Bacterial small subunit ribosomal RNA", at positions 338 to 795 of the family's 1533-position model. The record is from RNAcentral.
CCUACGGGAGGCAGCAGUGAGGAAUAUUGGUCAAUGGGCGCAAGCCUGAACCAGCCAAGUCGCGUGAGGGAAGACGGCCCUACGGGUUGUAAACCUCUUUUGCCGGGGAGCAAGCCUGAGCACGUGUGCCCAGUCGGAGAGUACCCGGAGAAAAAGCAUCGGCUAACUCCGUGCCAGCAGCCGCGGUAAUACGGAGGAUGCGAGCGUUAUCCGGAUUUAUUGGGUUUAAAGGGUGCGCAGGCGGGCUGUUAAGCCGGCGGUAAAAAUUCAGGCCUCAACCCUGUCGAGCCGUCGGAACUGGCAGCCUGGAGUGGGCGAGAAGUAGGCGGAAUGCGUGGUGUAGCGGGGAAAUGCAUAGAUAUCACGCAGAACGCCGAUUGGGAAGGCAGCAUACCGGCGCCCGACUGACGCUGAGGCACGAAAGCGUGGGGAUCGAACAGGAUUAGAUACCCCAGUAGUC